Molecule: long non-coding RNA, 205 nt
Filed under: Ricinus communis (castor bean)
Lineage: Eukaryota; Viridiplantae; Streptophyta; Magnoliopsida; Malpighiales; Euphorbiaceae
Description: long non-coding RNA (RCOM_LNC003702)
Source: RNAcentral
UCCGCGACACGAGCUCAGGCAAUACAAUUGAAUGACAUGCCCUCGCAGUGCAACAUCUGCCUAAUAACACGCCCAAGCUCGGAGAUCAUCUCCAGCCUUAACAUAAGAGCAUACGUCCGUGCAAGAACUGCAUCGUCGGCAAGAUACGAGCUUGUGUGCCCAUGCGAGGCAGAUCCAAGAAUGUGUGCCUCGGCCGAAGGGGACG